This 253-nucleotide ribosomal RNA is filed under the name uncultured bacterium. RNAcentral describes it as "partial 16S ribosomal RNA". It matches the Rfam family "Bacterial small subunit ribosomal RNA", at positions 524 to 776 of the family's 1533-position model. The record is from RNAcentral.
UACGUAGGGUGCGAGCGUUAAUCGGAAUUACUGGGCGUAAAGCGUGCGCAGGCGGUUUUGUAAGCCAGAUGUGAAAUCCCCGGGCUUAACCUGGGAAUGGCAUUUGGGACUGCAAGGCUCGAGUGCGGCAGAGGAGACUGGAAUUCCUGGUGUAGCAGUGAAAUGCGUAGAUAUGCGGAGGAACACCGAUGGCGAAGGCAAUCCCCUGGACCUGUACUGACGCUCAUGCACGAAAGCGUGGGGAGCAAACAGG